CUACGGAGGGUGCGAGCGUUAAUCGGAAUUACUGGGCGUAAAGCGUACGUAGGCGGUUGGUUAAGUUAGAUGUGAAAGCCCCGGGCUUAACCUGGGAACUGCAUUUAAAACUGACGAACUAGAGUUGAGUAGAGGGGAGUGGAAUUUCAGGUGUAGCGGUGAAAUGCGUAGAGAUCUGAAGGAACACCAGUGGCGAAGGCGACUCCCUGGACUCGAACUGACGCUGAGGUACGAAAGCGUGGGUAGCAAACGGGAUUAGAAACCCUAGUAGUCC
Molecule: ribosomal RNA, 274 nt
Filed under: uncultured bacterium
Lineage: Bacteria
Description: partial 16S ribosomal RNA
Rfam family: Bacterial small subunit ribosomal RNA
Source: RNAcentral